This 366-nucleotide unclassified non-coding RNA is filed under the name Hevea brasiliensis (rubber tree). Lineage: Eukaryota; Viridiplantae; Streptophyta; Magnoliopsida; Malpighiales; Euphorbiaceae. The record is from RNAcentral.
GAAAAUUGUCAUGAUGUGAUCAAUCUACUUGGUUCUUCAGAUCGUGACUUUCUUAUUCGCAACAAUGGUGACAAGGUUAAGCUUGAUACUUUAAAGGAGAAAAAAAUUGGUUUCUACUUUUCAGCAUCAUGGUGUGGUCCGUGCAAACAUUUCACCCCAAAUUUGGUAGAGGCGUACAAUGCUCUCCUACCAAAAGGAGACUUUGAAGUUGUUUUCCUUACUGCUGAUAUGGAUGAUGAAUCUUUUAAGGAGUACUUUUCUAAAAUGCCUUGGCUCGCUGUCCCAUUCUCUGAUUCUGAAACACGUAAACGUUUGAAUGAAUUGUUUGCUGUUAGGGGAAUACCCCACUUAGUGAUCCUUGAUGCU